AACGAACGCUGGCGGCAGGCUUAACACAUGCAAGUCGAACGCACCGCAAGGUGAGUGGCAGACGGGUGAGUAACGCGUGGGAACGUACCCUUUACUACGGAAUAGCUCCGGGAAACUGGAAUUAAUACCGUAUGUGCCCUUCGGGGGACAGAUUUAUCGGUAAAGGAUCGGCCCGCGUUGGAUUAGCUAGUUGGUGGGGUAAAGGCCUACCAAGGCGACGAUCCAUAGCUGGUCUGAGAGGAUGAUCAGCCACAUUGGGACUGAGACACGGCCCAAACUCCUACGGGAGGCAGCAGUGGGGAAUAUUGGACAAUGGGCGCAAGCCUGAUCCAGCCAUGCCGCGUGAGUGAUGAAGGUCUUAGGAUUGUAAAGCUCUUUCACCGGGGAAGAUAAUGACGGUACCCGGAGAAGAAGCCCCGGCUAACUUCGUGCCAGCCGCCGCCGUAA
Molecule: ribosomal RNA, 447 nt
Filed under: uncultured bacterium
Lineage: Bacteria
Description: partial 16S ribosomal RNA
Rfam family: Bacterial small subunit ribosomal RNA
Source: RNAcentral